This 1372-nucleotide ribosomal RNA is filed under the name uncultured bacterium. Its description in RNAcentral is "bacterial SSU rRNA". It matches the Rfam family "Bacterial small subunit ribosomal RNA", at positions 28 to 1381 of the family's 1533-position model. The record is from RNAcentral.
GAUGAACGCUGGCGGCGUGCCUAAUACAUGCAAGUCGAGCGAACGGACGAGAAGCUUGCUUCUCUGAUGUUAGCGGCGGACGGGUGAGUAACACGUGGAUAACCUACCUAUAAGACUGGGAUAACUUCGGGAAACCGGAGCUAAUACCGGAUAAUAUUUUGAACCGCAUGGUUCAAAAGUGAAAGACGGUCUUGCUGUCACUUAUAGAUGGAUCCGCGCUGCAUUAGCUAGUUGGUAAGGUAACGGCUUACCAAGGCAACGAUGCAUAGCCGACCUGAGAGGGUGAUCGGCCACACUGGAACUGAGACACGGUCCAGACUCCUACGGGAGGCAGCAGUAGGGAAUCUUCCGCAAUGGGCGAAAGCCUGACGGAGCAACGCCGCGUGAGUGAUGAAGGUCUUCGGAUCGUAAAACUCUGUUAUUAGGGAAGAACAUAUGUGUAAGUAACUGUGCACAUCUUGACGGUACCUAAUCAGAAAGCCACGGCUAACUACGUGCCAGCAGCCGCGGUAAUACGUAGGUGGCAAGCGUUAUCCGGAAUUAUUGGGCGUAAAGCGCGCGUAGGCGGUUUUCUAAGUCUGAUGUGAAAGCCCACGGCUCAACCGUGGAGGGUCAUUGGAAACUGGAAAACUUGAGUGCAGAAGAGGAAAGUGGAAUUCCAUGUGUAGCGGUGAAAUGCGCAGAGAUAUGGAGGAACACCAGUGGCGAAGGCGACUUUCUGGUCUGUAACUGACGCUGAUGUGCGAAAGCGUGGGGAUCAAACAGGAUUAGAUACCCUGGUAGUCCACGCCGUAAACGAUGAGUGCUAAGUGUUAGGGGGUUUCCGCCCCUUAGUGCUGCAGCUAACGCAUUAAGCACUCCGCCUGGGGAGUACGACCGCAAGGUUGAAACUCAAAGGAAUUGACGGGGACCCGCACAAGCGGUGGAGCAUGUGGUUUAAUUCGAAGCAACGCGAAGAACCUUACCAAAUCUUGACAUCCUUUGACAACUCUAGAGAUAGAGCUUUCCCCUUCGGGGGACAAAGUGACAGGUGGUGCAUGGUUGUCGUCAGCUCGUGUCGUGAGAUGUUGGGUUAAGUCCCGCAACGAGCGCAACCCUUAAGCUUAGUUGCCAUCAUUAAGUUGGGCACUCUAAGUUGACUGCCGGUGACAAACCGGAGGAAGGUGGGGAUGACGUCAAAUCAUCAUGCCCCUUAUGAUUUGGGCUACACACGUGCUACAAUGGACAAUACAAAGGGCAGCGAAACCGCGAGGUCAAGCAAAUCCCAUAAAGUUGUUCUCAGUUCGGAUUGUAGUCUGCAACUCGACUACAUGAAGCUGGAAUCGCUAGUAAUCGUAGAUCAGCAUGCUACGGUGAAUACGUUCCCGGGUCU